Molecule: unclassified non-coding RNA, 313 nt
Filed under: uncultured Geopora
Lineage: Eukaryota; Fungi; Ascomycota; Pezizomycetes; Pezizales; Pyronemataceae
Description: sequence contains ITS1
Rfam family: 5.8S ribosomal RNA (bases 1-105)
Source: RNAcentral
GAAAUGCGAUAAGUAGUGUGAAUUGCAGAAUUCCGUGAAUCAUCGAAUCUUUGAACGCACAUUGCGCCUUCUGGUAAUUGGGGAGGCAUGCCUGUCCGAGCGUCACUAAAAUCAACUCAAGCACUUUUGUGCGUGGUCGUGGAGGAAGAGUCAGCCUCGCUGCAAGUCUCCCCUCCGAAAAUCAAUGGCGGAAAGUCACUGGUACUCUGCGUAGUAGUCACGUUCGCUGAGCUUCCAGUGUUGUUCCUGCCUUCAAACCCCCACAAUUCUCUUGAUUGACCUCGGAUCAGGUAGGGAUACCCGCUGAACUUAA